RNAcentral lists this long non-coding RNA (260 nucleotides) under Linum usitatissimum (flax). Its description in RNAcentral is "long non-coding RNA (LUSI_LNC003551)". Lineage: Eukaryota; Viridiplantae; Streptophyta; Magnoliopsida; Malpighiales; Linaceae. The record is from RNAcentral.
GCCACAAUAGGGUUUACAUCAGGCACUCUUCCAGUUAAAUACCCUGGGGUUCCUCUGGUUUUUGGUAGACUUUCAGUAAAAGACUGUGAUCACAACUUAGGUUUCUAGUUGAAAAGUAAAAACUUUAAAUUAUGCAGGACGUUUACAGUUGAUCGCCUCUAUAUUAAGUGCAAUGAGUCAAUCUGGCUUUUGGUUUUUGUUCUUCCUUUUGCAGUUAUUAAAGUUGUUGAAAGGAUAUGUAGUGACUUUUAUGGAAAAUC